This 93-nucleotide transfer RNA is filed under the name Drepanopeziza brunnea f. sp. 'multigermtubi' MB_m1. RNAcentral describes it as "Marssonina brunnea f. sp. 'multigermtubi' MB_m1 tRNA". It matches the Rfam family "tRNA". From Rfam's summary of the family: Transfer RNA (tRNA) molecules are approximately 80 nucleotides in length. The record is from Rfam by way of RNAcentral. Lineage: Eukaryota; Fungi; Ascomycota; Leotiomycetes; Helotiales; Drepanopezizaceae.
GGUUGCUUGGUGUAAUGGUUAGCACAUCAGAUUCUGAUCAGCCUCGCGGCGUCCGAAAUUCUGGGGAUAUUGGUUCGAUUCCUAUAGCGACCU